RNAcentral lists this ribosomal RNA (465 nucleotides) under uncultured bacterium. RNAcentral describes it as "bacterial SSU rRNA". It matches the Rfam family "Bacterial small subunit ribosomal RNA", at positions 338 to 795 of the family's 1533-position model. The record is from RNAcentral.
CCUACGGGUUGCACCAGUGGGGAAUAUUGCACAAUGGGCGCAAGCCUGAUGCAGCCAUGCCGCGUGUAUGAAGAAGGCCUUAGGGUUGUAAAGUACUUUCAGUUGGGAGGAAGGCGUUGAUGCUAAUAUCAUCAACGAUUGACGUUACCAACAGAAGAAGCACCGGCUAACUCCGUGCCAGCAGCCGCGGUAAUACGGAGGGUGCAAGCGUUAAUCGGAAUUACUGGGCGUAAAGCACACGCAGGCGGUCUGUUAAGUCAGAUGUGAAAUCCCCGGGCUUAACCUGGGAACUGCAUUUGAAACUGGCAGGCUUGAGUCUCGUAGAGGGGGGUAGAAUUCCAGGUGUAGCGGUGAAAUGCGUAGAGAUCUGGAGGAAUACCGGUGGCGAAGGCGGCCCCCUGGACGAGGACUGACGCUCAGGUGCGAAAGCGUGGGGAGCAAACAGGAUUAGAUACCCGCGUAGUC